RNAcentral lists this transfer RNA (65 nucleotides) under Neohermes californicus. Its description in RNAcentral is "tRNA-Tyr". It matches the Rfam family "tRNA". From Rfam's summary of the family: Transfer RNA (tRNA) molecules are approximately 80 nucleotides in length. Their secondary structure includes four short double-helical elements and three loops (D, anti-codon, and T loops). The record is from RNAcentral. Lineage: Eukaryota; Metazoa; Arthropoda; Insecta; Megaloptera; Corydalidae. RNAcentral also lists the same sequence under 1 other name.
GGUAGAAUGGCUGAGGUAUAAGCAAUAAACUGUAAAUUUAAUAACGAGAAUAUUCUCUUCUAUCA